CGUGUAGGCGGCCAGGCAAGUCGAGUGUGAAAUCCCAGGGCUCAACCCUGGAACUGCACCCGAAACUGCCUAGCUAGAGUCCCGGAGAGGGUGGCGGAAUUUCCGGUGUAGAGGUGAAAUUCGUAGAUAUCGGAAGGAACACCAGUGGCGAAGGCGGCCACCUGGACGGUGACUGACGCUGAGACGCGAAAGCGUGGGGAGCAAACA
This 207-nucleotide ribosomal RNA is filed under the name uncultured bacterium. RNAcentral describes it as "partial 16S ribosomal RNA". It matches the Rfam family "Bacterial small subunit ribosomal RNA", at positions 568 to 774 of the family's 1533-position model. The record is from RNAcentral.